GUUCCGUAGGUGAACCUGCGGAAGGAUCAUUAAUAAUAAAGUGUUUUAUGGCACUUUUUAAAAAUCCAUAUCCACCUUGUGUGCAAUGUUAGAUCUCGUCAAUCUUGGCGAGAUUUUUAUACAUCAACUCAUUCUUUAACUAAUUUGUCUGAAAAAUAUUAUGAAUACUUAAUUCAAAAUACAACUUUCAACAACGGAUCUCUUGGCUCUC
Molecule: unclassified non-coding RNA, 211 nt
Filed under: plant metagenome
Description: partial contains small subunit ribosomal RNA, internal transcribed spacer 1, and 5.8S ribosomal RNA
Source: RNAcentral